This 3456-nucleotide long non-coding RNA is filed under the name Homo sapiens (human). RNAcentral's name for it is "non-protein coding lnc-METTL26-1:6". The record is from RNAcentral. Lineage: Eukaryota; Metazoa; Chordata; Mammalia; Primates; Hominidae.
GUCCAGAGGCCCCUGCUCCACACCUGGGUACCCUGGGUCCUGACUCAGGGCAGCUGGGUGAGAAGCUAACGGCUUGAAGGAACAGGGCUACAAGGGGAGUUUGUGCUGGGCCUGGCGUCCCAGGCUGUGGACUGGAACUGGACAUGAGAACCCCCCCUACACCCUCCCAAGUCAAAGACACUCCAAAAAGACAGUUUCUCCACUUUAUUAGCCUGGAGCUCCUCCCUGCCAGCCCCAGGGGCUGGUCGCUGGUCCCUGGGCACAGUGAGCAGGGCUGAGGUCAGACGGGUUCGGCCCUUGGCCAUGGCAGCUUGGUUGGGACAGCCGGGCCAAGGGAAAAAAAGGUGCAAAAGUCCAAAUGCUGGCACUUCAGGUGUGGCCGGCACCCAGCCAGGCGCAGUGGGUGGGCAGGGCGCCAUGCUUCUCUCCUGGCGACAGGUCGGCCGUGUAGCAGCGCCCCCUCCCAGCAGCCACUAGGAACAGCUGGUGAUUCUCGCCAGGAACUGCUGCGCCCACCACUCGUCUAGGUCAAUGGGCACAAAGUCUGUGGGCAGAGAAGGCUGGGCAGUGAUGCUGCCUCCCAGGCCAGCCGGCAAGUCUCCCCUGGAGCUAACCACAAGCCGCUCACCCGGACUCCGAGUGCGGCAGGCGCUGGGAAGAAGGGGUUUCUGCACAAGAGUCCCCUCCCUCAUCCCCUGGGGUGGGAACCUGGCAGGGCCUGGGUCAGGAUCAGAGGGGCUGGGGGGUCUCUCCUGGGGGGACAGGGUUGGGGGGCUCACUCUGCAGCCGGGGAUUGGGGGUCCUCUCCACGUACUGCACAGGCCUUGGCCCGCCCUCACCGGCUGGGCCACCAUCCAGCUGCUGUUGCACCUGCUGCCAGGCUGUGGGAGGAGGGCAGUCGGGCUGAGCCAGGUCCCAGGCACCCCAUCGCCCACCCAGGGCCUGAUGGUCACCCUGGACUCCAGCCCCACACAGGGCUGGUCACAGGACACAAGGGCAGAGUGCCAAGGAAAAGCACAGCCAUGCAGCGGCUGUGGGUCAGCUUGAAGUGGGGCCAUCCCGGGUCCAUGGUUUUGCGACCCAGCAGCCUAUGCCGCACCCUCUGGCCCCGCUCGCUACCUUCGGACACAAAGCGGACAUUCUCCUCGUGGGCCACUGUGUAGGUCUCCUGGGUCCCCUCGAAGGAUGGGGACGUGGAGGGGGCCCGCCGGCCAUUCACACGAUUGAACACAAGCCUUGGCCCUGGACUGCAGGAAGGGAGGAGACGGACAUGGUUGGUGCCCAUCCCAGGUGCGGUGCUGCCUGGCAGAACUCAGGAGCAGCCCCGGGCCAGCCCACUUUCCCCAGACUUGGCCAGCCUAGGCACUUCCUGAACCAGAGAGAGCAGCCACCCACAGCAGCCGGUGGCCCAGGCCUCUCUUGCAGUCCCCAAGCCAUCGGCAGCUCAGCUCACACCUGCAGCCCUGUGUCCUGAGGGAAGUGAGUGACUGUAGGGUGGGGGCCUCAGUCUUAGAGUGUCCCAAACCUUUGGUCGGGCCCCACUCAGUACCCCUCCCCGAGGGUCUUGCAGGUGCCCAUGCUGCCACCUGCAUCCCAUCAGCAGCCCAGAUUCUGACCUGAGCCACGACCCAGUCCAUGACCAUGUCUCUCUGCCCCAACCCCCCCACUCUGGGUGUAGUUCUAGGCCACAUUCUCGCCCCACAGAAGCACCUCCAUCUCCACGAUGUUUCCCUCCAUGGACGGAUGGACCUGGACGGGAACGGGGGCCUUUGCCCUCUCCCUGGCUGCCCCCACGUCCCAUGGGAUGAGGACUGGGUGCCGGGAUGGGCAGUCCCUGAGUCGGGAGAGUGACUAUAACCCUCGCCCACUCCCCACCGGCCCGAGACAAGGGGCGAUGCCAAAGGAGAUGGCUCCCGCAGUGCCGCACGCAACGUCUGGUGGGCCCCUGGGCCCGUCCCGGCCAGCCGGGCCCAGGGCAGGGAUGAGCGGCCCCAGCUGGCCGAGCCCUGAGCACACAAAGCCCGGGACAGGGCCGUGGAGGGAAUGGGGCCGCACCUACAGCCGGAGGUGGGAGCCGGGAGUCCUGGGCUGCGCCUGCUCCGCCAGGCACUCGCGGUCCCGGCCGGCCUGUUGCCUUCCUGGGCUCAGGUGCCCCAGCGCCGCUCUCGGUUCCUCCUCAGCUGAGAGGGGCACUAAAAUAAAGAGGAGUGUCUUGAGGGGCGCAGGGUCCUGCCGGCCCCAGGGCUGGCAGGGUCUGGUGGCCACAGAGGAUCUUAAAACGUGCAGGUGGAGAUGGGACAGGGGCAGGGGCACCUCCCAGGCCUGCCCGCUGCCUGAGUUUCUGCACAAACCACAGGGAAUAAAGUUUGUCCACUUGGAAAGCCCCCUUGCCUGCAACCCACUCCCACCUCGGAAAGCCAGAAACUCCAAGAAAGCUUGGAGGUUGGAUUAUCAAUGUCUAAGAAGACAAGAACAUUGCCAGGGGCUGUGAAUCGAAGGGCGGAGGUGGCGGCUCUCGGGCAGAGAUGGGCCCCAGGAGGCAGGCACCGCCCCAGGGGCUCUGGUUACGUAAGGCUGCUGCUCUCUGGGGGAAAGGGCACCGGCCCGGCGAGCACCUAUGGAUCACCGCCAACCUCUCCCACUUCCAGGGACACUGCUCCGGGCAAACUUCAGCCCAGGGAGGUGAAGGCUGUGGAGUGCAUCCUCUCCUCUCCCCUCCACAGCCCAUCCCUUUUUCAGCCCAUGAAGCUGGGCUUGGGAGAGAAUCCACCUGAGCAUAUUACAUGCUGGGUGGGGGCAGCACCAGGAUAUCAUAGCAAAUCCAACAACAGAGUCCAUGGCCCUGACCCAGUACAGCCCCCAAGCCAGCCCCUCAGCCUGCCCUCACUGGGCCUCCCCACCCCCGUCUCUUGCAGGCUGCCCCUUCUCGCCCUGUGGGGUUCAUUCCAUUGUCCCUUCCUGUGGCGGUCCCCACACCCUCCAUCUGCCCUGGGGUCGGGUGAUCACAUGGCCCCGUUUCAUCUUAUUACUUAUAUCGCCUCAGUUUAUCUUACUGCCUCCCCUAUCCAUCUCCCACCAGGAGGAAGAACUUGUCAAAGGUGUAUCUGGGCUGGGCGUGGUGGCUCAUGCCUGUAAUCCCAGCACUUUGGGAGGCCGAGGCGGGUGGGUCGCCUGAGGUCAGGAGUUCAAGAUCAGCCUAGCAUACGUGGUGAAACUCUGUCUCUACUAAAAAUACUAAAAAUUAGCCGGGCAUGGUGGCGGGCACCUGUAAUACCAGCUACUCCGGAGGCUGGGGUGGGAGACUCACUUGAACCUGGGAGGCGGAGGUUGCAGUGAGCCAAGAUCACGCCACUGUACUCCAGCCUGGCAACAGAGCAAGACUCUGUCUCAAAAACAAACAAAGGUGGCCGGGCGCGGUGACUCACACCUGUAAUCCCAGCACUUUGGGAGGCCGAG